Molecule: ribosomal RNA, 648 nt
Filed under: Pleurotus pulmonarius
Lineage: Eukaryota; Fungi; Basidiomycota; Agaricomycetes; Agaricales; Pleurotaceae
Description: eukaryotic LSU rRNA
Rfam family: 5.8S ribosomal RNA (bases 252-405)
Source: RNAcentral
ACUGCGGAAGGAUCAUUAAUGAAUUCACUAUGGAGUUGUUGCUGGCCUCUAGGGGCAUGUGCACGCUUCACUAGUCUUUCAACCACCUGUGAACUUUUGAUAGAUCUGUGAAGUCGUCCUUCAAGUCGUCAGACUUGGUUUGCUGGGAUUUAAACGUCUCGGUGUGACAACGCAGUCUAUUUACUUAACACACCCCAAAUGUAUGUCUACGAAUGUCAUUUAAUGGGCCUUGUGCCUAUAAACCAUAAUACAACUUUCAACAACGGAUCUCUUGGCUCUCGCAUCGAUGAAGAACGCAGCGAAAUGCGAUAAGUAAUGUGAAUUGCAGAAUUCAGUGAAUCAUCGAAUCUUUGAACGCACCUUGCGCCCCUUGGUAUUCCGAGGGGCAUGCCUGUUUGAGUGUCAUUAAAUUCUCAAACUCACAUUUAUUUGUGAUGUUUGGAUUGUUGGGGGUUGCUGGCUGUAACAAGUCGGCUCCUCUUAAAUGCAUUAGCAGGACUUCUCAUUGCCUCUGCGCAUGAUGUGAUAAUUAUCACUCAUCAAUAGCACGCAUGAAUAGAGUCCAGCUCUCUAAUCGUCCGCAAGGACAAUUUGACAAUUUGACCUCAAAUCAGGUAGGACUACCCGCUGAACUUAAGCAUAUCAUAA